AGGUACAGCCAUAGCAUCCUGCUAGUACCCAAUCCUGUCAGGUCUUGGAAGCUAAACAGAGCUGAGCCUGAUUAGGAUGUGGAUGGGAGACUGCCUUGGAAGACUAGGGGUAACUA
This 116-nucleotide ribosomal RNA is filed under the name Mastacembelus armatus (zig-zag eel). Lineage: Eukaryota; Metazoa; Chordata; Actinopteri; Synbranchiformes; Mastacembelidae. The record is from RNAcentral.